Molecule: ribosomal RNA, 253 nt
Filed under: uncultured bacterium
Lineage: Bacteria
Description: partial 16S ribosomal RNA
Rfam family: Bacterial small subunit ribosomal RNA
Source: RNAcentral
UACGUAGGGGGCAAGCGUUGUCCGGAAUCAUUGGGCGUAAAGAGCGUGUAGGCGGCUCGGUAAGUCCGCUGUGAAAGUCCAGGGCUCAACCCUGGAAUGCCGGUGGAAACUGUCGAGCUCGAGUCCGGAAGAGGCGAGUGGAAUUCCUGGUGUAGCGGUGAAAUGCGCAGAUAUCAGGAGGAACACCAAUUGCGAAGGCAGCUCGCUGGGACGUAACUGACGCUGAGACGCGAAAGCGUGGGGAGCAAACAGG